RNAcentral lists this long non-coding RNA (2569 nucleotides) under Sus scrofa (pig). RNAcentral's name for it is "lncRNA (ENSSSCG00050015179.1)". The record is from RNAcentral. Lineage: Eukaryota; Metazoa; Chordata; Mammalia; Artiodactyla; Suidae.
UGCGACAACACUGGAUCCUUUAACCCACUGCAUGGAGCCAGGGAUCAAACCUAUGCCUCCUCAGCAAUCCAAGCCACUGCAGUCAAAUCUUAACCCACUGCACCACAUGGGAAAUCCAACAUCUGAGUGUCUUUAUAUAUAAACUUAUUUAAGUAAAUAAAGUGAGUUAUUUUAAAGCCUGAUGCUAAGCCAAUCCUGAACCAGGUGGCUGGGACACUACCUGUCUAGCCACAGUAGAGCCCAGGUCUAAAGUAAGCAAAAGGAAGCUGACUGGAAAAAAGCAGAAAGGUAAAGUCUUGUCAAAACGCAAGAAGCCUCGUGGCAGGGUAAACAUUUUGGAAAAUAUUUUGUAGGUCUGUUUUCCAAGUGUCUGCAAAGCCAAAUUCCUUGGAAAUAUGUUCUUUGUGCAUGAGUGUGGCAUCUCUCUCAUUUUCCAGAGUGCAUGAAAUAUGCCAAUCUUCAAUUCUGUUAUUCAAAGUUAAAGGCAAAGUUGAAAAAAGCAAAUACAACUUCAUGCUGCAUGCAAAAUAUAAAAGUGCAACCAUAAAUACCGUUUUAAUUUUUAAAAACUUUAUAUCAUUUGGGGAGUUCCCACAGAAGCUCAGUGGAAAGGAAUCUGACUAGCAUCCAUGAGGAUGUAGGUUCAAUCGCUGGCCUCACUCAAUAAGUUAAGGAUCUGGCAUUGUCAUGAGUGUGGUGUAGGUCACAGAUGCAGCUCAGAUCUGGUGUUGCUGUGGCCGUGGCGUAGGCCAGCAGCUACAGCUUAAAUUUGACCCCUAGCCUGGGAACCUCCAUAUGCCCCAGGUACAGCCCUAAAAAAACAAAACAAAACAAAAUUUGUAUCAUUUAAGAUCUGAUCAUAAAACAGAGGAUACAUAAAACACUCACCUGGGGUAAUCGGUAAAACUAUUUACAGAGGUGUGGGGAAACCAAGGGUUAAUGCAAUGUAUGGGGCUAAGGGAGGAAGAACCCACUGAGAAAGUCCACAUAGGAGAACCUACCAGGCACCAAGCUGAGUAUAAAGGGAUAAAUGGAAGAUAACCAGCACAGAAACAAGGCUAUUUUCAAAUAUUUUCAAACAUUUGCUGGGUAUUUAUUUACCACUGUGUAAUCACUAGCUUUAGGCUGGGCUGUGGACUACAGAGAUUAAGAGGGCAGAUAGCUUGGACUCAGCUUGCCACUCAUCAGCUAUGUGAGUUUCUUAUGUCACUGAACUUAGUUUAUUUGGUAAAAUGAGGGACAAAAGCAGUAUUCAUCCUAACACUGGUGUGAGAAGCCAAAGAGUAAAUGUAUUUAUGUUGAUGCUAGAAAGAUAUUACCAGAAUUCAGGUUCUUGUUCAUGCAGCCAAAGAAUGAACUCUGGAACACACAGGCAGCAAGCAAGCAAAAUCUUUAUUAUAAGAAAACAAAUAGCUCCCAGGACAGCUGGGAAGGGGUAGAAGAGCCCCCCUCUCUAUUGUCUUAUAGGGGUUUUUAUCCCUUAAAGAUGGGGGUUACCAAUGUGGGGUACAGAAAGAUGUGGGUUUUUUUCCUCAUUGGCUUUGCCCAAUUACCUAUAUCAGUCCUUGUCCAAUAGGGGUCUUGGAGUGGAAAUGUCCCGUAAGUCUCAUGGUUUCUUUGCCCUUCUCUUCCCGUAAACUGAGUCACAGGGGGUUAGAGAUUAAUGUCCAUCCGGGCAAAGGUACACUCCCUGUAGUAAACAAGGCCUGUGGGGAUGUUACUCUCUGGAAUCUUUAAGCCACAAAUGUUAAUCAAUACAUAUCAAAGAAGGCAUCAAAGCCCAUGCUCCUACAAUGACCACAUGAGUUAUUAUUCUGUCUCAAUGUUAGCCACGAAAAUGUUCAAGAGAAACCUAUGGGAAAAAAGCUUAAAAUUGUGGAAAUUCUAAAUUUAAACUGAAUUAAAUUAGUAUUUCAUAUGACUUGGUCAAAAAUAUUCUAUGUAAUUGACAGAACAUCUGCAAGGCCUCCAAAGCUGUAAAAUGAUCUAGACUAGCAGAGGUGGGUAGGGGUGAUGGUUGUGAUCAGUAAUGGUGGUAAAACCGAGCAGAAUCCUAUGGGGCUUUCCCAAGUACAAAGUACUAAGUAGAAGUACAAACGCCUUCCCAAGUACUAUGUCCCCUGGCUCUUGUUUAGGGAAAUGCUGAAGUCUUCCAGGCUUCCUAGAGACACAAAAGAGGAGGCUCAAGCAGUUAAUUAUUGGGAUGAUAGAGUCCUACACUCAGCGUCUGAUAAAGAAUGAGAUUAACACUAUUGCUCAUAUGAUCUAUAUCUCUGUGUGCAUUAGAAUAAUUGUAGCUUGUUCUGCUCAUAUAUGUUAGCAGGCAACUAAAAUUGUCAGCAAAGAGAUGAUACAGAUCCAUGUUGACAUCUUCCAUUCUAAGAAUAAAAUGCCCCCUAGGUCAGCAUGAAGUUACAGAAGACAGACCUUUGCCCCAGAUGCAUAAAACGGGAAUGAUGUCUGAUGGGAUUUGUCAGCAGCUCAUUUGCCCCUUUUCCGCUUGUUCAUUUCUGUUUUCCUCGGACCUCAAUCAUAAAGAUGAAAUCAUUAGGCAACAUUUAACCUAAGU